GCGAAGGUGGCGGAAUUGGUAGACGCGCUAGCUUCAGGUGUUAGUGUUCUUACGGACGUGGGGGUUCAAGUACCCCCCCCCUCGCACCA
RNAcentral lists this transfer RNA (89 nucleotides) under Klebsiella michiganensis HKOPL1. RNAcentral describes it as "tRNA-Leu (CAG) (tRNA-Leu-CAG-3-1)". It matches the Rfam family "tRNA". From Rfam's summary of the family: Transfer RNA (tRNA) molecules are approximately 80 nucleotides in length. Their secondary structure includes four short double-helical elements and three loops (D, anti-codon, and T loops). Lineage: Bacteria; Pseudomonadati; Pseudomonadota; Gammaproteobacteria; Enterobacterales; Enterobacteriaceae. The record is from RNAcentral.